UGGGGUGUGACUCAGUGGUAAAGUGCUUGCCUAGCAUGUGUGAGCUAGGUCAACCCUGGGUUUGAUCCUCAGCACUUCAA
Molecule: transfer RNA, 80 nt
Filed under: Ictidomys tridecemlineatus (thirteen-lined ground squirrel)
Lineage: Eukaryota; Metazoa; Chordata; Mammalia; Rodentia; Sciuridae
Description: Spermophilus tridecemlineatus (thirteen-lined ground squirrel) tRNA
Rfam family: tRNA
About the family: Transfer RNA (tRNA) molecules are approximately 80 nucleotides in length. Their secondary structure includes four short double-helical elements and three loops (D, anti-codon, and T loops).
Source: Rfam by way of RNAcentral